GAUGAACGCUGGCGGCGUGCCUAAUACAUGCAAGUCGAGCGAACAGACGAGGAGCUUGCUCCUCUGACGUUAGCGGCGGACGGGUGAGUAACACGUGGAUAACCUACCUAUAAGACUGGGAUAACUUCGGGAAACCGGAGCUAAUACCGGAUAAUAUAUUGAACCGCAUGGUUCAAUAGUGAAAGACGGUUUUGCUGUCACUUAUAGAUGGAUCCGCGCCGCAUUAGCUAGUUGGUAAGGUAACGGCUUACCAAGGCAACGAUGCGUAGCCGACCUGAGAGGGUGAUCGGCCACACUGGAACUGAGACACGGUCCAGACUCCUACGGCAGGCAGCAGUAGGGAAUCUUCCGCAAUGGGCGAAAGCUUGACGGAGCAACGCCGCGUGAGUGAUGAAGGUCUUCGGAUCGUAAAACUCUGUUAUUAGGGAAGAACAAAUGUGUACGUACCUAUGCACGUCUUGACGGUACCUAAUCAGAAAGCCACGGCUAACUACGUG
Molecule: ribosomal RNA, 497 nt
Filed under: uncultured bacterium
Lineage: Bacteria
Description: partial 16S ribosomal RNA
Rfam family: Bacterial small subunit ribosomal RNA
Source: RNAcentral